RNAcentral lists this unclassified non-coding RNA (745 nucleotides) under Hevea brasiliensis (rubber tree). Lineage: Eukaryota; Viridiplantae; Streptophyta; Magnoliopsida; Malpighiales; Euphorbiaceae. The record is from RNAcentral.
CAUCCUAUGGGAGUUGGUCACCAUGCAACAGCCGUGGAAUGGACUUAGUCCUGCACAGGUUGUUGGAGCUGUAGCUUUCCAAAAUAGAAGGCUUGCCAUACCGCAAAAUGCCUCCCCUGUGUUGGCUUCUCUUAUGGAAUCUUGCUGGGCCGAUGAUCCAGCUCAACGCCCAUCUUUCGGCAAUAUAGUGGAGUCGUUGAAGAAGUUGCUGAAGUCUCCACUCCAGUUGAUACAGAUGGAGAGCAAAUAAUGAAAGAGUACUUCCACCAAAACCAGUUAAUAAUUGGUGUGGGAUAUAUUGGGAGCAUUCUGAACAGAUUUCAGAGAUCUAGUCUACAACUAGUAAUGGUAAACCUCUACAGUUAUGUACCCACUAACAGAACCUUUUCGAUUCCAGGCAUCUGUAGAUUUGUUACUCAUCUAAAUGAUUUGCAAGGCAACUGAACUCAUGAAAGCGGAACCUGCAGGUUAAGAAUGCAGGGUUGCUCCUUCUGUAUUUGUAUAGGUAUGAGUAGCCUCUCUCAUGAGUUAUAUUAAAAUCAUUGCUAAUCUGAAUUGUCAGAGAACAGUUAUGUAUUUUGUUUGUAACUAAAACUGCAAUUCUGGGCUGUAUCGAGGAAGUUCCUUCAUCAUGUUCGUACAUAUAUUUGCAGGAUUAUGUAAUAAUACAAAACCGAAAUUCCUUCCCAUAUAUAUUUAGCUGGAAUAAACAGCAUUUACUUUGCUAAUUACUUGCAUAUUCAAG